Molecule: ribosomal RNA, 253 nt
Filed under: uncultured bacterium
Lineage: Bacteria
Description: partial 16S ribosomal RNA
Rfam family: Bacterial small subunit ribosomal RNA
Source: RNAcentral
UACGUAGGGAGCAAGCGUUGUCCGGAAUCAUUGGGCGUAAAGCGCGCGUAGGCGGCUUUGCAAGUCGAGUGUGAAAUCCCCAGGCUUAACCUGGGAACUGCAUUCGAGACUGCAUAGCUAGAGUAUGGGAGAGGGAAGUGGAAUUUCAGGUGUAGCGGUGAAAUGCGUAGAUAUCUGAAGGAACAUCAGUGGCGAAAGCGACUUCCUGGACCAAUACUGACGCUCAUGUGCGAAAGCGUGGGGAGCAAACAGG